CAGAUUUAGUUCCAAGCAACAGAUGCUACCUCAGGGGCAGAAAGGGAAUUUAUUGAGAGGAUUUGGGGUCACUCACAGAAUCCCAGGAGUGAACUGGGGAAUCAGGAUUGGAAAGUGAGCAGGAAGAAUCCUGGCAACUGGCCAGCAAUGGUAACCCAGCCACAGUGACACCACGGAACCGGUCUGAUGAGGCCAUGCUGGCGAUGGCCACUAGACACUGUAGUUGUCUCGCUGCCUCUGCUGCCCCAGAAAUAGGAUAUGGCUGCUCUUCUCAUUAGCUGUUGCUGGUAAUAAAUCACUUCACAACUUA
RNAcentral lists this long non-coding RNA (310 nucleotides) under Homo sapiens (human). Its description in RNAcentral is "novel transcript". Lineage: Eukaryota; Metazoa; Chordata; Mammalia; Primates; Hominidae. The record is from RNAcentral.